RNAcentral lists this ribosomal RNA (462 nucleotides) under uncultured bacterium. RNAcentral describes it as "bacterial SSU rRNA". It matches the Rfam family "Bacterial small subunit ribosomal RNA", at positions 337 to 796 of the family's 1533-position model. The record is from RNAcentral.
UCCUACGGGAGGCAGCAGUGAGGAAUAUUGGUCAAUGGACGGAAGUCUGAACCAGCCAAGUAGCGUGCAGGAUGACGGCCCUAUGGGUUGUAAACUGCUUUUAUAUAGGGAUAAAGUCGGGGACGUGUCCCCGUUUGUAGGUACUAUAUGAAUAAGGACCGGCUAAUUCCGUGCCAGCAGCCGCGGUAAUACGGAAGGUCCAGGCGUUAUCCGGAUUUAUUGGGUUUAAAGGGAGCGCAGGCUGAUGAUUAAGCGUGACGUGAAAUGUAGCCGCUCAACGGCUGAACUGCGUCGCGAACUGGUUAUCUUGAGUGAGUUCGAUGUUGGCGGAAUUCGUGGUGUAGCGGUGAAAUGCUUAGAUAUCACGAAGAACUCCGAUUGCGAAGGCAGCCAACAAGGCCUUUACUGACGCUAAAGCUCGAAGGUGCGGGUAUCGAACAGGAUUAGAUACCCUGGUAGUCC